GCAUCUACCUUUUCUACUUCGGUGUCUAUACCAUCAUUUUCCCCAGGCAUGAUUGGAAUUUUCUUCUCUUCCCUUUCAGGUCAAAUCAUCAUGUUUCACCAAGAAGAGUAAACGGAAAAAGAGAGGAAGGAAGAUUGAAAUAGGAACAAUGAUAAAGAUGACCACAAUUUGCCGGACAUGUCGUAGCUCCCUUUAAACGAGCU
RNAcentral lists this long non-coding RNA (203 nucleotides) under Monodelphis domestica (gray short-tailed opossum). RNAcentral's name for it is "lncRNA (ENSMODG00000042580.1)". Lineage: Eukaryota; Metazoa; Chordata; Mammalia; Didelphimorphia; Didelphidae. The record is from RNAcentral.